GGCUAACUACGUGCCAGCAGCCGCGGUAAUACGUACGGGGCGAGCGUUGUUCGGAAUUACUGGGCGUAAAGAGUGUGUAGGCGGUGCUCUAAGUCCGGUGUGAAAUCUCCGGGCUCAACUGGGAGGGUGCGCCCGAAACUGGAGUGCUUGAGUGUGGGAGAGGAAAGUGGAAUUCCUGGUGUAGCGGUGAAAUGCGUAGAUAUCAGGAGGAACACCUGUGGUGUAGGCGGCUUUCUGGACCAUUACUGACGCUGAGGCACGAAAGCGUGGGUAGCAAACAGGAUUAGAUACCCUGGUAGUCCACGCCCUAAACGAUGCAUACUUGGUGUCGGCGAUUCAGUU
Molecule: ribosomal RNA, 342 nt
Filed under: uncultured Acidobacteriota bacterium
Lineage: Bacteria; Pseudomonadati; Acidobacteriota
Description: bacterial SSU rRNA
Rfam family: Bacterial small subunit ribosomal RNA
Source: RNAcentral